This 253-nucleotide ribosomal RNA is filed under the name uncultured bacterium. RNAcentral's name for it is "partial 16S ribosomal RNA". It matches the Rfam family "Bacterial small subunit ribosomal RNA", at positions 524 to 776 of the family's 1533-position model. The record is from RNAcentral.
UACGGAGGGUGCAAGCGUUAAUCGGAAUUACUGGGCGUAAAGCGCGCGUAGGCGGCUUGUUAAGUCAGCUGUGAAAGCCCCGGGCUCAACCUGGGAAUUGCAGUUGAUACUGGCAAGCUAGAGUACAGUAGAGGGUGGUAGAAUUUCUUGUGUAGCGGUGAAAUGCGUAGAUAUAAGAAGGAAUACCAGUGGCGAAGGCGGCCACCUGGACUGAUACUGACGCUGAGGUGCGAAAGCGUGGGGAGCGAACAGG